UACGGAGGGGGCCAGCGUUGCUCGGAAUUAUUGGGCGUAAAGGGCGCGUAGGCGGUCUGGUAAGUUUGAUGUGAAAUCCCAUGGCUCAACCCUGAAACUGCAUUCGAUACUGCGCGGCUAGAGUGCUGGAGGGGAGACUGGAAUUUACGGUGUAGCAGUGAAAUGCGUAGAUAUCGUAAGGAAGACCAGUGGCGAAGGCGAGUCUCUGGACAGCAACUGACGCUGAGGCACGAAGGCCAGGGGAGCAAACGGG
Molecule: ribosomal RNA, 253 nt
Filed under: uncultured bacterium
Lineage: Bacteria
Description: partial 16S ribosomal RNA
Rfam family: Bacterial small subunit ribosomal RNA
Source: RNAcentral